UUUAAAAAAACGAAGCAUAUUGUUUGAAAAAGAAGAGAAACAAAUUAUACAUUGGCUUGUAAUCCAAACGAUAUUAUUGGUUCCAGAGAGGAAAAGCAACGGUGGUCGUUUAGAGAGACGAAAAGCGGCCACCACCUCCAUCAUCGCUAAGGCGGAACUGAAAAUUGGAGAGAAAAUAAAUAUCUAACAUAAAGAGAGAGAGAGAGAAGAGAGAGAGAGUUUGGGGGAGGAGGCAACGCAGUUGUAGUGGCAUAUGACAUCGGCAGAGAGGUGGUGGUUACCAAAUUACUUCCUUUUUGCAGCGUAAAGCAUUCUCUCCCCUUUCGUUCUCAUUUUUUUCUUUCGAUUUCAUUUAGCCUGGUAAAAACCUCCUUUUCCUUUAUCCACCAGUUCAUGUGCCCGAUUGGGUUAAUAGGUAUGUUAGAAUUUGAUUAACUUCUUUGAAAUAUAGGGUGAAUUAUGUUAGGGCAUGAAUAGGAAAAACUAUACAUGUUUUCAUUAAGUCGAAAUCUUCUUCCUCUGUCUCAAUUUGACACCUGAAGUCUUCUUUUUCACUACUCGGCCAUCGAUACUAGGAGGUGGUUUGACGAACAGUGGUUGAAGGAUCACAUAAGUUCAAAGCCACACAACCUUAGCUUGGUUCUUUGUUCUUCUUUUUUCUUUUUCUCUCGAGACUUGAUUUGAUUGAAGUUUGGUCAUCAAACAUUAUCGAUUGCAAUGCGUUCCUUGAGGGAAAAAACUUGAGUACAAAGAGCAACGGUGGAUUUAGACACCUACUACACACAAGUUAAACUUAUCUCAACUUUUAUUAUUACAUCAUUUCCCUUCAUUUAUAGUAUUAUUUUAAUAGUUUGAAGUUUGAACUUAACCAAUUAUAUCAAGCAGGAGUAUGUUGAAGCACAUAUUGGACUUAAAACAAGCUGACAAAUGUAUAUAUAGGCAUGGACAAUAUAACAAUUCAAGAAUGUAUUACCUAUUUUCUCAUAAUCACACAAGCUAAAUCUAUUCUUAUCCCCGCAUAAUUUAUCAGGAAUAUCUUAAAUGAAUAUCAACAGCUGGGAUGUAGCCAAAUCAUGGGUUUGAUGGCUAGUUCAACCGUCAACGCCUGAUGGACAUACAAAAUUUCUGAAUAAGAAUCUGAAGUAAUUUGCAAUUUGAUAUCAAUCAUUCGUGGCAGGUAUUAUUUUGUAAGUGUGAUGUGAUUGCCCAACAGCCCAAAUAUCUCAUGCAAAAACGCUUGCAAAGAAACUAUAUCCAUGUUCAUUUGAGUCUAUGUUAUUAAUUUGCAGAAUUAUAGAAAUAGUCUAUGUAAUGCUAAAAUUACAAAAAUAUCCUGUUUCAUUAUAUUUUUCAUGAAAUAGACAAAGUUUUAGAAGGUGUCCCAA
Lactuca sativa (garden lettuce) is the source of this 1385-nucleotide non-coding RNA. NCBI's taxonomy places the organism in Eukaryota, Viridiplantae, Streptophyta, Magnoliopsida, Asterales, Asteraceae. The record is from RefSeq and is a predicted model, not a curated record.